Molecule: ribosomal RNA, 372 nt
Filed under: Rhizophagus intraradices
Lineage: Eukaryota; Fungi; Glomeromycota; Glomeromycetes; Glomerales; Glomeraceae
Description: LSU rRNA
Source: RNAcentral
UUGAAAGGGAAACGAUUGAAGUCAGUCGUACCGGCGGGUAAUCAGCCUUUCGGGUAUGAUUCUGUAGAGCGUGAGGAGUUAAACGCCUUCAUGCCUGCAUAUUCGUGCUCUUGGGUGUACUUGCUCGUGUGGUUGGUUAACAUCAAUUUUGGUUAUCAUAAAAUGGCUGGAGGAAUGUAGCUUCGAUUUCGAUUGAAGUGUUAUAGCCUUCGGCAGAUGUGAUGAUCGGGAUUGAGGAUUGCAACGGAUACCUUUCGGGGCUACCUGUCUGAUCUCUGAUCGUCGCUCUGGUGCCGAAAGCGUGCUUACGGUUAUCAAAGUCGAUGGUCAAUAGGUUAGAAUGGGUUAAAUUCGUUAAGGAUGUUGACGUAA